Molecule: long non-coding RNA, 515 nt
Organism: Sapajus apella (tufted capuchin)
Lineage: Eukaryota; Metazoa; Chordata; Mammalia; Primates; Cebidae
Exons: 2
Source: RefSeq, a predicted model, not a curated record
CUGCUCCUGCCCAGGUCCCAAGCUGUCCAGUCCUGAAACUAGAGUAAGAACUGCUCCUGCACAUGUCCACAGCUGUGCGGACCUCAAACUAAAGUAAGAACUGCUCCUGCCGACGUCCGCAGAUGUGCAUCCCUCAAACUACAAAAAGAACUUCUCCUGCCCAGGUCCCCAGCUGUGCGACCCUAAAACUAAAAUAAGAACUGCUCCUGCCGAGGUCCGCAGCUGUGUGGCCCUCAAACUACAAAACCCUCAACUCCAUUGCCCCCUUCUACUUCCGCACUCACUACUCAACUUUUUAAUACCCAACUCUGAGUUGAAGCAUUAAUAAAAGUGAUAAUUAACAUGUUUGGUGAAGUGGCACCAUCACAUGCUUGUGAUUCUCAAUUUCGAAGCUAUUUGGAACUCUUUCAAUGUGUCCAGAAGUUGGCUAUGUUGCCCAUUUCUCCCUGUCAUUAUGUCUCCUAAUGGACCCCUUUUCUUAUGCUCAGCAGUUUGCACUACUGUCUAGUUUUCUG